UCCCUAGUGGCUCAGCUGGUAAAGUAUCUGCCUGCAAUGCGGGAAACCUGGGUUCGAUCCCUGGGUUGGGAA
Molecule: transfer RNA, 72 nt
Filed under: Ovis aries (sheep)
Lineage: Eukaryota; Metazoa; Chordata; Mammalia; Artiodactyla; Bovidae
Rfam family: tRNA
About the family: Transfer RNA (tRNA) molecules are approximately 80 nucleotides in length.
Source: Rfam by way of RNAcentral